This 1063-nucleotide unclassified non-coding RNA is filed under the name Portunus trituberculatus (swimming crab). Its description in RNAcentral is "putative nuclease HARBI1, transcript variant X2". Lineage: Eukaryota; Metazoa; Arthropoda; Malacostraca; Decapoda; Portunidae. The record is from RNAcentral.
AUCGCUCUCUCUGGCCUGGGGCGGGAUGUUCAAACGCUUGUAACGGCCGCUACGAUCACCUUAGCGCUAAAUUUGUCGUAACCCGCGCGUAACUCGCCUAAGGUGUAUGUUGGAAAGAUCUUGGAGUCGUCGCUACGAUUUUCGGACUGCCAUAUUUGCUCGUAGCGCUGUCUCGAAGAGCACCCUUACAGUGAUCGUAGGGUGGUUUGUUUACCUCCCGUGGAAUUCUGUACCCACAUUGCCUUGUCAGAGAUGGAGUUACAAGUUGUAUUGCAACAUGAUGUUGCAGUAAACAGGGCCUGGAGACGUGAAAGAAGAUUUAGAGACCGAACAGAUCCAUUUGCUUUUAGGGAUGAACACUUGCUGAGAUAUUAGACUCCCGAGACAGGAGCUUCUUCAUUGGUGCCAGAAGCUAGAACCAAAAGUUGGCCGAGCAACAAGAAAAUCCCAUGCAGUGCCAUGUCAUUUACAGGUGUUGAUGACAUUUAGGUUUUAUGCCAGUGGGUCAUUCCAAAGUGUGUUGGCAGACACAUGGAUUAACACAAGGAUGUGUCAGCAGAGUCAUCAACAGAGUGACAGAUGUGCUGUAUACGGCGUCACUUAGAGAAACACGGAUGCCAAGAGGACUAGAGGAAGCCAGGGUAACAAAGAGGAAAUUAUAUGGAAUUGCCAAUUUUCCAAAUGUGAUUGGCAUCAUCGAUGGAACACACAUCCCGAUUGCUGCCCCACCAGUUGAUGAAGAACUCUACAUUAAUAGAAAGAAUUUCCAUUCACUGAACAUACAAGUUGUGUGUAAUGCAGACUACAUUUUUCAAGACUAUUGCUGCCGUUUCCCUGGAAGCACACGAUUCAUUUGUAUGGGAGAACAGCAUCCUCAACAGGAGAUUCCAGCGGGGUGAAUUUGGAGAUGCCUUUCUUCUUGCCCAGGCAGGAAAACUCCUACCCACUCUUCCACUCCUGGAUGAAGUAGUAGUCAACCCUGAUGACAUAGAUGGACCUGUGUUUGUUCCUGCACCAGCUGGUGGUGGAGGACGGGAUGCAAGGGCAAUAGCUGGGAAUGCAA